CGCAUCUGUGCAUGCAGCAUAUCAAUAAGCGGAGGAAAAGAAACUAACAAGGAUUCCCUUAGUAACGGCGAGUGAAGCGGGAAGAGCUCAAAUUUGAAAUCUUCAAGGUUUUACCUUGACGAAUUGUAGUUUAAAGAAGUGUUUUCUGUUGAAGUUUUGGUAAAAGUUCUUUGGAAUAGGACAUCAUAGAGGGUGAGAAUCCCGUAUUUGACCAUUAUUUUCAGCUGUGUGAUACACUUUCAAAGAGUCGGAUUGUUUGGGAAUGCAGUCCAAAAUGGGUGGUAAAUUUCAUCUAAAGCUAAAUAUUGGCGAGAGACCGAUAGCGAACAAGUACCGUGAGGGAAAGAUGAAAAGAACUUUGAAAAGAGAGUUAAACAGUACGUGAAAUUGUCAAAAGGGAAGCGUUUGACACCAGUGUUGUUUUCUCGAAAAUCAAUUAAAAAGAGUUUGAUUUUGUUGUGUAUUGACCUUAACAGCUUGCAUUUCAAUUUUCUUGCUUUUUUUAAUGCACUUUUCGUUUAACAAGUCAACAUCAGUUUCUUUUGUUGUAAAAAGGUCAUUGGAAGGUGGCUUUCUUUUCGGAGAAAGUGUUUAUAGCCUUUGACUCCUGCAAUCGGAGAGACUGAGGUCUGCAGCGUAGAUCCUUCGGGGUUGGAUACAUUUGUGCUAAGUUAUAGCUUUUUAUAGACAACUUGUUGACUAUGAUUAGUCUUGUAGCUUACUCGCUUAUGCUAUUUUACCUACGCUUAGGAUGUUGACACACGCGCGUGCUCG
Molecule: ribosomal RNA, 774 nt
Filed under: uncultured Neocallimastigales
Lineage: Eukaryota; Fungi; Neocallimastigomycota; Neocallimastigomycetes; Neocallimastigales
Description: partial large subunit ribosomal RNA
Rfam family: Eukaryotic large subunit ribosomal RNA
Source: RNAcentral